This 253-nucleotide ribosomal RNA is filed under the name uncultured bacterium. Its description in RNAcentral is "partial 16S ribosomal RNA". It matches the Rfam family "Bacterial small subunit ribosomal RNA", at positions 524 to 776 of the family's 1533-position model. The record is from RNAcentral.
UACGUAGGUGGCAAGCGUUGUCCGGAAUUAUUGGGCGUAAAGCGCGCGCAGGCGGUCCCUUAAGUCUGAUGUGAAAGCCCACGGCUCAACCGUGGAGGGUCAUUGGAAACUGGGGGACUUGAGUACGGAAGAGGAAAGCGGAAUUCCACGUGUAGCGGUGAAAUGCGUAGAGAUGUGGAGGAACACCAGUGGCGAAGGCGGCUUUCUGGUCUGUAACUGACGCUGAGGCGCGAAAGCGUGGGGAGCAAACAGG